CAUGCAGGGAACACCUACCUUGUUUAUGAGUAUGCAGAGAAUGGGGCUCUGAGAGACUGGCUUCAUGGUGAUGGUGAAACUUGUUCUACUCUGGGGUGGAAACAGAGGGUUCAAAUAGCCUAUGAUGCAGCGGAUGCCCUGAAUUACCUCCACAACUUCAUCAGUCCCCCAUGUAUACACAAGAACUUGAAGAUCAGCAACAUCCUCUUGGAUGGUAACAUGAGAGGCAAGGUCACCAAUUUUGGACUGGCAAGGCGAUUGGGGAAUGAAGAGGGAGAUGGAGGGGGGCUGCAACUGACGAGACAUGUGGUGGGGACUCAGGGUUACAUGGCUCCCGAGUACGUAGAGAAUGGUGUGGUUACCCCAAAACUAGAUAUUUUUGCUUUCGGUGUUGUGAUAUUAGAGCUGUUAACUGGCAAGGAAGCUGCGCCUUCUCAAAAGAAAGAAGGAGGGGAGUUGUUAUCUGUGUCAAUAAAUGAGGUGCUUCAAGGGGAUAAUGUGAGAGACAAACUGAGAGGCUUCAUUGAUCCUUGCCUUGCCCAUGAGUACCCCUUUGAUUUGGCUUUCUCCAUGGCCCAGCUCGCCAAGUCAUGUGUUGCCCAUGACCUUAAUGCUCGCCCAACCAUGUCUGACAUUUUCGUUAUCCUCUCCAAGAUUCUCUCCUCCUCUUUGGACUGGGAUCCAUCUGAUGAUUUUCAAGCCUCUGGCUCUCUAAGCCAUGGUAGAUAGGCAACCUUUAUUUUUUAUAUUUUUUGUUUUUUGGCGCAUCCAUAUAUCCUAUAUGGAAGUUUACAAUGAGACGAAUCCACUCACAAUAGUGGUGAUUUUGUGAGCUUCUGCUUGAUACAAGUCACACCUCGCACUUAUCGUUUUUUCUCCUCUAGAAACUAGAAAUGGAAUGUAAAAGUAGGCAUGAAGGAGCUGCCAUGCCAGAUGAAAUUACAGUGAUUGCAAUGAAAUUUAAAGUAUUAUCCGUGUUCCCCUGCUGGGGUUUAAAACAACUCACUCUGGAAAUUCAAACUGUCCUCUGUUUUAAUAAAGAGCAUAUGAAUACUUCUGCAUGCAAUUGGUAAAAUUGACAGAUAUGCUUCCAUCUCAAGCAAACUUACAUGCUAUUUUUCACUUUGCAUGGUUGCUCUUUCAUCUAGUUUUAAGAUUUGGAUGAAAUGCUGGGAAAUCAUGUAGGGUGUCAAGUUUGGUUGGGCACUGUAAACCACCGGGCAAUCAGCUUUGAGAGGAUUCAUUCAGUAAAGUGAGAUUGUCAAUUGACAGGCUAGUUGGAGGGAAUCGUUUGUAGCUGAGGUCUGAGAUCAUGCAUGAAGUUGCUGGGUUAUCUGAUUGAUCUUGUCGUAGAAAAUGACAUGAGGAGGGCAUACUUAUCUUAAUCUUGAUUCCAAGAUGGAUGGCGUUUCUUUUCUAUUUCAGCAACUACCCUUAAUCUUGUCAUCUUGGUUCUAGCAGGUGAAGAUGCCACUGCUUUUUCCUGUGUGUCCAAGUCAGGGUUUUUUUUUUUUCUGACAGAUGUUGUAACAUCAGCAUUCUCUGACCAUUUGGAGUUUUAAUCCUCUAGUGUUUCAAACUUUCCCUCCAAUUUGAAGACUCUGAAUACAUGCUGUAGCUUCACAACCAGGCGGUAGAUGUUGGCUGUGAUAUUUUGGGCCUACCAUCAUUUGCAGACAUAUCACAGACAGGAGAAUUCAAGAUGAAUUAUUCCUCAAUCUCAAGAUUAUGUUCUUGCUCAGGCCUUGUCAGGUGUGACCUUAUAUUAUUCUAAUUUCUACAUGCAGGGCAGAUGCUCAGUAUAAACCCUGCCUGCUUCUCCUUCAUCCGCAUCCACGUGUUCCUUGCCUCGCUCCACAUUUCCAAUAUCUCCAGCAAGUAUGACAUUUCUUAAUUUAAGAAGUGCUCUGCAUACAAAGAACCUUAGAAUGAAACAAACAUCUCAUAAAAGUAGAAAUACAGGUUUUUCUUGGUAAGAGAAAAAAGAAGAAAAAUUAUUUAGAGAAAGAACGCUUUAAAUUGUAUUAUUGCGAGUCAUGGGGGAAUCCAAGUCAUUUUUAUGGUUUCCAAAGAACGGUAGAGAACGGAUUGAAAUUUGGGGAGGUCAGCCCGGGGCUAUUCCUCUUGUUCUUCUUCUGGAAAGAGGAAUGUUCGUAAUAUACAUCAAUCAAUGUUAUGUGAAAACAAGAAGAAAAUACGUUAAUGGGAAAUAUGAAAACAAGUAAAUGCCGAGUUGGAGGAUGAAGAAAAACGAAAUUGGAGGCGAGGCCUUUACAGUUGCGUGAGGGCAUGGGGAGGAAGAGGCCAAUAGAUGGAGCAGUCAGCCGUCAAGGUCAAGGUGGGGGCAAAGCACUAGGACUUUGGAGUCAAGUCAGUCAAAUGAGCACUUAGGACUUUGGAGUCAAAUCAGUCAAAUAAGCACUCAGGAGGCUCUGAAUUGGAAUUCCACAGCACGGCAAGAGUUGCAGAUUAGAGACUCUUCUCUCCUGAUCUAUAACUAUUUAAGUAUGCUGUCUUGCAUGCACAUGCCCAUGUACACUCUGGAGAAUAUGCAUAAUAAUAGUCCAUCUCAUGUAAAAUGUUGGUGGUGGAGGGUGGUUCUCAUCCACUGGUUCUUGGUAUCAGGACUGCAGGCCCAACAAGCCUACCUCAACAACGAUCAGCUUGACUGCGACAACAACUCUAAUAAUACCAAGGGAUUCGUCUGCAACGGCCCUCGCAAAUAAUAUCUUUCCUACCUCACCUUUCGAUCCGCUCCACUAUCCUACGACUCCCCACCUUCCAUAGCCUAUCUCCUCAACUCCAACCCCUCUGAUAUCGCCACCAUUAACCAAAUCUCGGAUGUUAACAAGAUCCCCAAGGACACUGUCCUCAUUGUCCCGGUCAAUUGUUCUUGUUCAGGCCAUUUCUACCAGUACAACGCCUCCUACACCUUGAAGUAUGAUUUCGAGAAUUACUUCACCCUCGCCAACAACACCUACCAAGGCCUCACCACUUGCCAGGCACUCAAGGCUCACAACCCAUAUUACUAUCGAAACCUUUCCGUGGGUAUGGACCUGCUGGUUCCUCUCAUGUGCGCCUGCCCCACCGCCAACCAGACCGCCGCCGGCUUCAACUACUUGCUCACUUAUCUCGUUACUUGGGGCGAUUACAUCUCUUCAAUUGCAGAUACCUUCGGUGUCGAUGACAUACAGUCCAUAUUUGAUGCCAAUAGCCUCUCUUCCGACCUUAUUUUCCCCUUCACCCCAAUUCUUGUCCCGCUAAAGAAUCCUCCCACCAGGAUCCAAACUACCCUCUCUCCACCGCCUCCAAAAUCGCCCGUAGUCCCCAACGGUGGAGGGGCUGAUUCUUCCAAGAAAUGGGUUUACGUUGGGGUUGGGAUUGGAGCCACUUUACUCGUUCUUUUAAUGCCCUCCGGAAUUAUAUUAUGUCUACUUCGCCGCCGUCUCCAAUCUCGACAAGACAAGCCGGUCCCGGGAGCUGGAGGAGGCACGAAGAAGCCUUCGUACUCCAUGGAAAACAACAUAUCAUUAUCUGUUUCUUCAGGAGGCAUUCAUCACGCAGUAGAGUCCUUGACGGUGUACAAGUAUGAGGAGUUGCAAAAGGCAGCUGGAUUUUUCGGAGAAGCUAACAGAAUUAAGGGUUGUGUAUACAGGGGUUUGAUUAAGGGUGAUGAUGCGGCCAUAAAGAUGAUGAAAGGAGACGUGUCUGAGGAGAUCAAUAUACUGAAACUGAUCAAUCAUAGCAACGUGAUCAGGCUUUCAGGUUUCUGCGUACACAAGGGGAACACCUACCUAGUUUAUGAGUAUGCGGAGAAUGGGUCUCUCAGCGACUGGCUUCAUGGUGAUGGUCGAAUUGGUUCUACUCUGGGAUGGAAGCAGAGGGUUCAAAUAGCCUGUGAUGUGGCGAAUGCCCUGAAUUACCUCCACAACUUCACCAAUCCCCCAUGUAUACACAAGAACUUGAAGAGCAGCA
RNAcentral lists this long non-coding RNA (3975 nucleotides) under Vitis vinifera (wine grape). RNAcentral's name for it is "long non-coding RNA (VVIN_LNC005861)". The record is from RNAcentral. Lineage: Eukaryota; Viridiplantae; Streptophyta; Magnoliopsida; Vitales; Vitaceae.